RNAcentral lists this ribosomal RNA (457 nucleotides) under Aspasma ubauo. RNAcentral's name for it is "partial 12S rRNA". It matches the Rfam family "Bacterial small subunit ribosomal RNA", at positions 329 to 982 of the family's 1533-position model. The record is from RNAcentral. Lineage: Eukaryota; Metazoa; Chordata; Actinopteri; Blenniiformes; Gobiesocidae.
AGCCACACCCCCAAGGGUUUUCAGCAGUGAUAAACAUUAAGCUAUUAGUGAAAACUUGACUUAAUUAAGGCUAUUAAGGGUCGGUAAAAUUCGUGCCAGCAACCGCGGUUAUACGAAAGACCCAAGCAGACAAUACCCGGCGUAAAGAGUGGUUUAUUUAAAUUUUACUAGAGCCAAAUACCCUCAAGACUGUUAUACGUGUUCGAGAAUAUAGAAGCCCACCCACGAAAGUAGCUUUAUAAAAUAAAUACCACUAAAGCUAAGACACAAACUGGGAUUAGAUACCCCACUAUGCUUAGCCCUAAACCUAGACAACUUUUAUCUUCACCCGACUUCCGUUGUCCGCCAGGGAACUACGAGCAUAAGCUUGAAACCCAAAGGACUUGGCGGUGCUUUAGACCCACCUAGAGGAGCCUGUUCUAUAACCGAUAACCCCCGUUAAACCUCACCCUCACUU